GGCCCGCACAAGCGGUGGAGUAUGUGGUUUAAUUCGACGCAACGCGCAGAACCUUACCCAGUCUUGACAUCCCUGGACCACUAUGGAGACAUAGCUUUUCGACCUAACGGAAGAAUCAGGUGACAGGUGCUGCAUGGCUGUCGUCAGCUCGUGUCGUGAGAUGUUCGGUUAAGUCCGGUAACGAGCGCAACCCCUGUCCUUAGUUGCCAAUUAUGGAACUCUAAGGAGACUCCCGGUGUUAAACCGGCGGAAGAUGGGGAUGACGUCAAGUCCUCAUGGCCCUUAUCGGCUGGGGCUACACACGUACUACAAUGGCAACUACAAAGAGCUGCGAAGUCGCGAGGCCAAGCUAAUCUCAAAAAAGUUGCCUCAGUUCGGAUUGGAGUCUGCAACUCGACUCCAUGAAGUUGGAAUCGCUAGUAAUCG
This 426-nucleotide ribosomal RNA is filed under the name uncultured bacterium. RNAcentral describes it as "bacterial SSU rRNA". It matches the Rfam family "Bacterial small subunit ribosomal RNA", at positions 918 to 1344 of the family's 1533-position model. The record is from RNAcentral.